RNAcentral lists this ribosomal RNA (439 nucleotides) under uncultured bacterium. RNAcentral describes it as "partial 16S ribosomal RNA". It matches the Rfam family "Bacterial small subunit ribosomal RNA", at positions 339 to 795 of the family's 1533-position model. The record is from RNAcentral.
CUACGGGUUGCAGCAGUGAGGAAUAUUGCACAAUGGGGGGAACCCUGAUGCAGCAACGCCGCGUGGAGGAUGACGCAUUUCGGUGUGUAAACUCCUUUUAUAUGUCAAGAAAAUGACGGUAGCAUAUGAAUAAGCACCGGCUAACUCCGUGCCAGCAGCCGCGGUAAUACGGAGGGUGCAAGCGUUACUCGGAAUCACUGGGCGUAAAGUGCGCGUAGGCGGGUUGGAAAGUCAGGUGUGAAAUCCUACAGCUUAACUGUAGAACUGCACUUGAAACUUCUAAUCUAGAGUAUGGGAGGGGGAGAUGGAAUUAGUGGUGUAGGGGUAACAUCCGUAGAUAUCACUAGGAAUACCUAAAGCGAAGGCGAUCUCCUGGAACAUUACUGACGCUAAGGCGUGAAAGCGUGGGGAGCAAACAGGAUUAGAUACCCGGGUAGUC